UGAGUUUGAUCAUGGCUCAGAUUGAACGCUGGCGGCAUGCCUUACACAUGCAAGUCGAACGGUAACAGGUCUUCGGAUGCUGACGAGUGGCGAACGGGUGAGUAAUACAUCGGAACGUGCCCGAUCGUGGGGGAUAACGGAGCGAAAGCUUUGCUAAUACCGCAUACGAUCUACGGAUGAAAGCAGGGGACCGCAAGGCCUUGCGCGGACGGAGCGGCCGAUGGCAGAUUAGGUAGUUGGUGGGAUAAAAGCUUACCAAGCCGACGAUCUGUAGCUGGUCUGAGAGGACGACCAGCCACACUGGGACUGAGACACGGCCCAGACUCCUACGGGAGGCAGCAGUGGGGAAUUUUGGACAAUGGGCGAAAGCCUGAUCCAGCCAUGCCGCGUGCAGGAUGAAGGCCUUCGGGUUGUAAACUGCUUUUGUACGGAACGAAAAGACUCCUUCUAAUAAAGGGGGUUCAUGACGGUACCGUAAGAAUAAGCACCGGCUAACUACGUGCCAGCAGCCGCGGUAAUACGUAGGGUGCAAGCGUUAAUCGGAAUUACUGGGCGUAAAGCGUGCGCAGGCGGUUAUAUAAGACAGAUGUGAAAUCCCCGGGCUCAACCUGGGAACUGCAUUUGUGACUGUAUAGCUAGAGUACGGCAGAGGGGGAUGGAAUUCCGCGUGUAGCA
This 675-nucleotide ribosomal RNA is filed under the name uncultured bacterium. RNAcentral describes it as "bacterial SSU rRNA". It matches the Rfam family "Bacterial small subunit ribosomal RNA", at positions 1 to 680 of the family's 1533-position model. The record is from RNAcentral.